AUACUUACCUGGACGGGGUCUAUGAGUGAUCACGAAGGCUCAUGGCCUAGGUAGUUGACUUCUAUUGCACUAUAAGGAGGGGCAGCUUCUUAAGAUCUCCCUGAGUGGGAGAGUCUACGUCAUAAUUUGUGGUAGAGGAGGCCUGCGUUCGCGCGGCCUCUA
Molecule: small nuclear RNA, 162 nt
Organism: Amaranthus tricolor (Joseph's coat)
Lineage: Eukaryota; Viridiplantae; Streptophyta; Magnoliopsida; Caryophyllales; Amaranthaceae
Product: U1 spliceosomal RNA
Exons: 1
Source: RefSeq, a predicted model, not a curated record